CUUUGCAAAAAUUGCAUGUUUCUCCGAUUUUGGACAUUUUUUCAUGCAGUCC
Molecule: small RNA, 52 nt
Filed under: Caenorhabditis elegans
Lineage: Eukaryota; Metazoa; Nematoda; Chromadorea; Rhabditida; Rhabditidae
Description: Unclassified non-coding RNA ZC581.13
Source: RNAcentral